Molecule: long non-coding RNA, 232 nt
Organism: Ailuropoda melanoleuca (giant panda)
Lineage: Eukaryota; Metazoa; Chordata; Mammalia; Carnivora; Ursidae
Exons: 3
Source: RefSeq, a predicted model, not a curated record
UUAAGCAAUGUGACAGCAACGUGCCCUGGUGUGUUUUCUAUGUUCCCUGUGCCUGUGGCUCUUGGAUCUCUGUAUCAAGCAAGAGGAUAGAGUCAAUCCUUGUUACUCCAUGUUGGCUGGAAACGGAAGUUUGCUAAUUCAAUUUCCUUUGGGGUUUAUAUCUGCUGGAGAGAUGGGCGCCUGGGUGGCACAGCAGUUAAGCAUCUGCCUUCAGCUCAGGACGUGAUCCCGG